GAUGAACGCUAGCUACAGGCUUAACACAUGCAAGUCGAGGGGCAGCGGGAUUGAAGCUUGCUUCAAUUGCCGGCGACCGGCGCACGGGUGAGUAACGCGUAUCCAACCUUCCGUACACUCAGGGAUAGCCUUUCGAAAGAAAGAUUAAUACCUGAUGGUAUGAUGAGAUUGCAUGAUAUCAUCAUUAAAGAUUUAUCGGUGUACGAUGGGGAUGCGUUCCAUUAGGUAGUAGGCGGGGUAACGGCCCACCUAGCCAACGAUGGAUAGGGGUUCUGAGAGGAAGGUCCCCCACAUUGGAACUUAGUGCCGAACAAACCUCCUACGGGAGGCAGCAGUGAGGAAGAUUGGUAAAUGGCCGAGAGUUUGAAACAGCCUAGUAGCGGGAAGGAAGACGGCCCUAGGGAGUGUAAACUUCUUUUAUAAGGGAAUAAACACCCCCACGUGUGGGAGCUUGUAUGUACCUAAUGAAUAAGCAUCGGCUACCUCCGGG
RNAcentral lists this ribosomal RNA (490 nucleotides) under uncultured bacterium. RNAcentral's name for it is "partial 16S ribosomal RNA". It matches the Rfam family "Bacterial small subunit ribosomal RNA", at positions 28 to 507 of the family's 1533-position model. The record is from RNAcentral.